UACGGAGGGUGCAAGCAUUGAUCGGAAUUACUGGGCGUAAAGGGCGCGUAGGCGGCUUGAAAAGUCAGAUGUGAAAUUUCACGGCUCAACCGUGGAGCUGCAUUUGAAACUUUCAGGCUAGAGCGUAGUUAGGGAAAACGGAAUUCCACAUGUAGCGGUGAAAUGCGUAGAUAUGUGGAGGAACACCGGUGGUGAAGACGGUUUUCUGGGCUAUAGCUGACGCUGAGGCGCGAAAGCUAGGGGAGCAAACAGG
This 253-nucleotide ribosomal RNA is filed under the name uncultured bacterium. RNAcentral's name for it is "partial 16S ribosomal RNA". It matches the Rfam family "Bacterial small subunit ribosomal RNA", at positions 524 to 776 of the family's 1533-position model. The record is from RNAcentral.